This 955-nucleotide unclassified non-coding RNA is filed under the name uncultured Bordetella sp. RNAcentral's name for it is "partial 16S-23S ribosomal RNA intergenic spacer". It matches the Rfam family "Bacterial small subunit ribosomal RNA", at positions 529 to 1499 of the family's 1533-position model. The record is from RNAcentral. Lineage: Bacteria; Pseudomonadati; Pseudomonadota; Betaproteobacteria; Burkholderiales; Alcaligenaceae.
AGGGUGCAAGCGUUAAUCGGAAUUACUGGGCGUAAGCGUGCGUGCAGGCGGUUCGGAAAGAAAGAUGUGAAAUCCCAGAGCUUAACUUUGGAACUGCAUUUUUUAACUACCGAGCUAGAGUGUGUCAGAGGGAGGUAAAUUCCGCGUGUAGCAGAAAUGCGUAGAUAUGCGGAGGAACACCGAUGGCGAAGGCAGCCUCCUGGGAUAACACUGACGCUCAUGCACGAAAGCGUGGGGAGCAAACAGGAUACACCUGGUGGUCCACGCCCUAAACGAUGUCACCAAUGUUGGGGCCUUUCGGGCUCGGUAGCGCAGCUAACGCAGGAAGUUGACCGCCUGGGGAGUACGUCGCAAGAUUAAAACUCAAAGGAAUUGACGGGGACCCGCACAAGCGGUGGAUGAUGUGGGAUUAAUUCGAUGAACGCGAAAAAACCUUACCUGUCUUGACAUGUCUGGAAUCCCGAAGAGAUUUGGGAGUGCUCGCAAGAGAACCGGAACACAGGUGCUGCAUGGCUGUCGUCAGCUCGUGUCGAGAUGUUGGGUUAAGUCCCGGCAACGAGCGCAACCCUUGUCAUUAGUUGCUACGAAAGGGCACUCUGACGAGACUGCCGGUGACAAACCGAUAGAAGGUGGGGAUGACGUCAAGUCCUCAUGGCCCUUAUGGGUAGGGCUUCACACGUCAUACAAUGGUCGGGACAGAGGGUCGCCAACCCGCGAGGGGGAGCCAAUCCCAGAAACCCGAUCGUAGUCCGGAUCGCAGUCUGCAACUCCCGACUGCGUGAAGUCAACGCGGUAAUCGCGGGACUACAUGUCGCGGUGAAUACGUUCCCGGGUCUUGUACACACCUGCUCCGCCUACACCAUGGGAGUGGGUUUUACCAGAAGUAGUUAGCCUAACCGUAAGGAGGGCGAUUACCACGGUAGGAUUCAUGACUGGAAGUAAGUCAACAAGGUGA